RNAcentral lists this non-coding RNA (181 nucleotides) under Gammaproteobacteria bacterium. RNAcentral's name for it is "6S RNA". It matches the Rfam family "6S / SsrS RNA". From Rfam's summary of the family: E. coli 6S RNA was the first non coding RNA to be sequenced, but its function was unknown until recently. It consists of 184 nucleotides that fold into an extended hairpin structure with a large single-stranded internal bulge. The record is from RNAcentral. Lineage: Bacteria; Pseudomonadati; Pseudomonadota; Gammaproteobacteria.
AAUUGUCUGUUGUGUUUAAUGUUGACUAUAUACCCUGAGCCGAUAAAUAAACAUACUAGGAGAUGAGAUAGACUUACUAUUGAGCAAGCCCGCCACGUAGUGGGAAGCCUGCGGUAAUCUUCGAACUUCCGCCUUGAGCCUUCUUGGUUCAGGUUUCUCAACUCGAUACAAUGGACCCUUC